GUUGUCCUACGGGGGACAGCAGUGAGGAAUAUUGGUCAAUGGCCGAGAGGCUGAACCAGCCAAGUCGCGUGAGGGAUGACGGCCCUACGGGUUGUAAACCUCUUUUGUCGGGGAGCAAGACCCGCCACGAGUGGCGGAGCGAGAGUACCCGAAGAAAAAGCAUCGGCUAACUCCGUGCCAGCAGCCGCGGGAAUACGGAGGAUGCGAGCGUUAUACGGAUUUAUUGGGGUUAAAGGGUGCGCAGGCGGACCAUCAAGUCAGCGGUAAAAUCGUGGGGCCCAACCCCAUGCAGCCGUUGAAACUGG
RNAcentral lists this ribosomal RNA (305 nucleotides) under uncultured bacterium. RNAcentral's name for it is "bacterial SSU rRNA". It matches the Rfam family "Bacterial small subunit ribosomal RNA", at positions 333 to 636 of the family's 1533-position model. The record is from RNAcentral.